CCUACGGGCGGCAGCAGUAGGGAAUCUUCCACAAUGGGCGAAAGCCUGAUGGAGCAACGCCGCGUGGGUGAAGAAGGUCUUCGGAUCGUAAAACCCUGUUGUUAGAGAAGAAAGUGCGUUAGAGUAACUGUUCACGUUUCGACGGUAUCUAACCAGAAAGCAACGGCUAACUACGUGCCAGCAGCCGCGGUAAUACGUAGGUGGCAAGCGUUAUCCGGAUUGAUUGGGCGUAAAGGGAACGCAGGCGGUCUUUUAAGUCUGAUGUGAAAGCCUUCGGCUUAACCGGAGUAGUGCAUUGGAAACUGGGAGACUUGAGUGCAGAAGAGGAGAGUGGAACUCCAUGUGUAGCGGUGAAAUGCGUAGAUAUAUGGAAGAACACCAGUGGCGAAAGCGGCUCUCUGGUCUGUAACUGACGCUGAGGUUCGAAAGCGUGGGUAGCAAACAGGAUUAGAUACCCCUGUAGUC
RNAcentral lists this ribosomal RNA (465 nucleotides) under uncultured bacterium. RNAcentral's name for it is "partial 16S ribosomal RNA". It matches the Rfam family "Bacterial small subunit ribosomal RNA", at positions 338 to 795 of the family's 1533-position model. The record is from RNAcentral.